RNAcentral lists this ribosomal RNA (245 nucleotides) under uncultured Geothermobacter sp. Its description in RNAcentral is "partial 16S ribosomal RNA". It matches the Rfam family "Bacterial small subunit ribosomal RNA", at positions 524 to 768 of the family's 1533-position model. Lineage: Bacteria; Pseudomonadati; Thermodesulfobacteriota; Desulfuromonadia; Desulfuromonadales; Geothermobacteraceae. The record is from RNAcentral.
UACGGAGGGUGCAAGCGUUGUUCGGAAUUAUUGGGCGUAAAGCGCGUGUAGGCGGCUAUUUAAGUCUGAUGUGAAAGCCCGGGGCUCAACCUCGGAAGUGCAUUGGAAACUGGAUAGCUUGAGUACGGGAGAGGCUGGAGGUACUCCCAGGGUAGGGGUGAAAUCCUAUAAUCCUGGGAGGACCACCUGUGGCGAAGGCGGCUACCUGGACCGAUACUGACGCUGAGACGCGAAAGCGUGGGGAG